AGUAACGGCGAGUGAAGCGGCAACAGCUCAAAUUUGAAAUCUGGCUCUUUCAGGGUCCGAGUUGUAAUUUGCAGAGGGCGCUUUGGCUUUGGCAGCGGUCCAAGUUCCUUGGAACAGGACGUCACAGAGGGUGAGAAUCCCGUACGUGGUCGCUAGCUAUUGCCGUGUAAAGCCCCUUCGACGAGUCGAGUUGUUUGGGAAUGCAGCUCUAAAUGGGAGGUAAAUUUCUUCUAAAGCUAAAUACUGGCCAGAGACCGAUAGCGCACAAGUAGAGUGAUCGAAAGAUGAAAAGCACUUUGGAAAGAGAGUCAAACAGCACGUGAAAUUGUUGAAAGGGAAGCGCUUGCAGCCAGACUUGCUUGCAGUUGCUCAUCCGGGCUUUUGCCCGGUGCACUCUUCUGCAGGCAGGCCAGCAUCAGUUUGGGCGGUGGGAUAAAGGUCUCUGUCACGUACCUCUCUUCGGGGAGGCCUUAUAGGGGAGACGACAUACCACCAGCCUGGACUGAGGUCCGCGCAUUCGCUAGGAUGCUGGCGUAAUGGCUGUAAGCGGCCCGUCUUGAAACACGGACCAAGGAGUCUAACAUCUAUGCGAGUGUUUGGGUGUCAAGCCCGAACGCGUAAUGAAAGUGAACGGAGGUGGGAACCCGCAAGGGUGCACCAUCGACCGAUCCUGAUGUCUUCGGAAGGAUUUGAGUAAGAGCAUGGCUGUUGGGACCCGAAAGAUGGUGAACUAUGCUUGAAUAGGGUGAAGCCAGAGGAAACUCUGGUGGAGGCUCGCAGCGGUUCUGACGUGCAAAUCGAUCGUCAAA
RNAcentral lists this ribosomal RNA (809 nucleotides) under Pyrenophora poae. RNAcentral's name for it is "partial large subunit ribosomal RNA". It matches the Rfam family "Eukaryotic large subunit ribosomal RNA", at positions 82 to 909 of the family's 3401-position model. The record is from RNAcentral. Lineage: Eukaryota; Fungi; Ascomycota; Dothideomycetes; Pleosporales; Pleosporaceae.